GCUGUUCAAACGGUUAAUAAAAUGCAGAUGCUACUGAUUUCGACUUUUUAAACAUUCUUUAAAUUUUAAAAUCCAUGAAGAAUCCAAUGCCAACACGUAUUCAACAGUCCUCCGUCCGUAACAAUUCCCUUUCCUCAGGACCACGUAGCAUCUCUCAUUCCAAACACUCCACCAGAAGUGGGAAUUAUAUACCGCGACCUCUGUUACCUCAUGGCUUCUAACAAAACCCCAAACUCUUUAAUUUUACACGCUUAUAAAUUCCUGAGGGGUGGAAAAUCUUUGCUUUGGUACUGUUGGUCAUAUGUGGAGGGGGACUACAUCUACUACUUCCUCCCUUUUUUCCUAAAUAAUUUGUAUUUUAUCAACAGGUACUUACAAGAAAACAUUAGGAUGUUGAAAAAAUAAAAAAAAUAAGUAUAACAGCAGUAAUAACAAUAAUAACAAUAAUUAUAAAAGAAAUUUAAAAAGGAAAUGAUAAGAAAUAAAAAGACAAAUGAGGAGAAAAGCAGAAAGAAGGGGAAAUGGAGACUUUCCAAGAGCUCAACAUCUCACUUACAUUGCUGAUUCUGGAUUUUUUCAGAACUGAUGGGUCUAAAAUCCAGACCUUUUCAGUCCAUCUGUCAAAUUUUAGGCCCCCAAUAUCUGGGGAGGCGAGAGCUAAGAAAAACUUGCUUUACAGCCAGCAAAAUAGCCCCUAUUGCAGUGUAUAGUCUAGGACAGGGGUUCUACCAGAACGAAACAUCAUUCCACCUGGCAUCUACUACUUUAUCUGCACAGAGUUUGUCACCUGUCAUUUUAACUUAAUUCUU
Molecule: long non-coding RNA, 809 nt
Organism: Sphaerodactylus townsendi
Lineage: Eukaryota; Metazoa; Chordata; Lepidosauria; Squamata; Sphaerodactylidae
Exons: 3
Source: RefSeq, a predicted model, not a curated record